UAGGGAAUCUUCCACAAUGGACGCAAGUCUGAUGGAGCAACGCCGCGUGAGUGAAGAAGGUUUUCGGACCGUAAAGCUCUGUUGUUGGUGAAGAAGGAUAGAGGUAGUAACUGGCCUUUAUUUGACGGUAAUCAACCAGAAAGUCACGGCUAACUACGUGCCAGCAGCCGCGGUAAUACGUAGGUGGCAAGCGUUGUCCGGAUUUAUUGGGCGUAAAGCGAGCGCAGGCGGAAGAAUAAGUCUGAUGUGAAAGCCCUCGGCUUAACCGAGGAAUUGCAUCGGAAACUGUUUUUCUUGAGUGCAGAAGAGGAGAGUAGAACUCCAUGUGUAGCGGUGGAAUGCGUAGAUAUAUGGAAGAAUACCAGUGGCGAAGGCGGCUCUCUGGUCUGCAACUGACGCUGAGGCUCGAAAGCAUGGGUAGCGAACAGGAUUAGAUACCCUGGUAGUCCAUGCCGUAAACGAUGAGUGCUAAGUGUUGGGAGGCUUCCGCCUCUCAGUGCUGCAGCUAACGCAUUAAGCACUCCGCCUGGGGGAGUACGACCGCAAGGUUGAAACU
Molecule: ribosomal RNA, 556 nt
Filed under: uncultured bacterium
Lineage: Bacteria
Description: partial 16S ribosomal RNA
Rfam family: Bacterial small subunit ribosomal RNA
Source: RNAcentral